Molecule: long non-coding RNA, 5977 nt
Organism: Cavia porcellus (domestic guinea pig)
Lineage: Eukaryota; Metazoa; Chordata; Mammalia; Rodentia; Caviidae
Exons: 2
Source: RefSeq, a predicted model, not a curated record
UUUUUUUUUUUUUUUUUUUUUUUUUUUGGUCUUUUUCGUUUUUAUUGGUACCAGGGAUCAAACUCACUCACAACUGCCACUAUUUAGUGGCGCUUAUGCCACUGAGCUAAACCCCCAGCCCCCAUUCAUUCAUUUUAAAAAAUUAUUUAACAUACAUCUUGUGUUGGCAUGUGCAUCUAAGAAGACUGAAGGGCAUAAAGUAGCUUUGAGCAGGACCCUUAACUGAAAAUAGAGGGUCUGCCAAAUGGGAGGUUGGAGAGAACCCCAGAGAACCAAUUCUAGAGGAAGGCAGGUUGCUGACUGAGUGACCAUAGCGGGCUAAAGACAUCUGUACCAUGGCCGGACCUCCAUCACUGGAGGGAGACAUUUCAACCUGACAUAAAAAUAAACACGAACUUGAAGCCAAAGCUGUUAUGAUUAAGUAUGUAUUGUCUGAACAGAGAAUUCUGGAAGCUUUGUAUUUACUGGGGAAAGACAAUGGCAAUUAGAGUCCAGCCAUCCGAGCCAGGGACCAGCAAUGGGGUGGGGGGAGGCUCCCAUAGUCGAUGGUUUUCUUUCUUUCAGGGACAAAAAGAGCAUGAAAGGUCAGAAAUACUUUAAAUGUGUGUAUGUGCAUGUGAAAGAUUUUGAUUCGGGAUCCCAACUUGACCACGAGAGAGGCGUUUUGAAUUUUUCAUAGAGUAUUAUCUAGAAUCAUUUGCUUGCCAAAGAUCUCUAAGGAACAACAAAAAUAUUCCAUGCUUUGUGAUUAAAGGGAUUUCCCAGUAUAAAAACGCUUAUUUUCAACACUGUCUAAUCGGUUUUCAGCCUAUGGCGUCAAGGGUCCUGUUCCUCUCACACCCAGCUCUGUCUGAAAGCAUUUUGCUUUUCACACUUUCAGACAGGUUGAAUCUAUAUACUACUACCUUUUUUUUUUACCAGGGAUCAAACUCAUGACCUUGCACUUAUCAGGAAGGCACGAUACCACUGAGCUAAAUCCCUGGCCCUAUAUUUCAUUACCUUAAACCAGAAAAUUAAACAGCAUUUCUUAAAACCCCAACUGAUUUCCCCAGGUAUCCCUGAAACAUGCUCAUAAUCUGUGGAAGAAAUCCAUGGAGGUUUCUGAAAGGUAUGCAAAAAUUUGAAACGCUGAUUCCAUACAAUGAGCUCAUUAGUCAGAACAUGCAAACGCUGAGUGUAACUGUGUUGCCUAGGAUCAGAUAAAAUCGUGCUGUCCUUUCCACUGCCUGGCUUUUGCUUUUUUCCUCUGGCAUAAAGUUUUUCCCACUCUCUGCUUGUUGUUUAGUAAGUGGACCUUGGCGUGCCUCUUUGGCUCAUGUACUUUUUUUCAUAGACUUUUUGAGAAUUCUCUUUUUCACAGGCUCAAAAGCACAGAGAUGAUGACAGCGAGAACACACACACACAUUUAAGCAGAAAUGGCACAAGCGAAAGAGAAGCCAUCUCCCAGGUGAAGCUGUGGAGAGAAGUUUCAGAGCGCCCUGUAGUCUCGUGCCCAGACUUGCACUCAAAUUACAACAGGCACCUUUGUGGAAAUGACUUCACUUCUCUGUCCUGGCCAACGGAUGAUGCUGGCCACCCACGUGGUGCCAGGCUUGGUGCCAGGGACUGGAGUUCCGGAGUCCAGGUGAUGCAGACGCAGCCCGAGGCUGAGGUGCAAGGGCUGCCAGAGAAGAGCUUGUGUCCUUGACCUUUGCAUGUCUGAAAUCGACCUUCCCUGCUGGAGAAUGCGUUGGUUCUCCACGGCACCCCUUUCUCUCCAAGCCAACAUCACCCACCAUCCCCAAAGCACCCUCAGCAAGACGGCAGCACGAUCUGGCCACUUGUGCUGCUCUUCCCUCCAAAUAUGAUGCUUCAAAUCAAAAAUAAGUGAUUGUGUCACAAUAAGUCUUUUCUGUUUUGUAGAGGAAGUAAUGAAAUGAUGACACAUAAAAGCAAAUGAAGUAACUUUCUCCUGCUAAACUCUAUCCUUUAAUUCUACCCACUUCUCCACCUAAGCCUAUUUUUUCUUAUUUCGUAAAAUCAGGCUUUUGCUUUCUUAGGGGAAGUUUCCACUGUCAAAGAGUUCCAGUUUCUCAGAGGCCCAGAAAGUCAGGAUUUCUUUCGUUCUGUGCUUUGAACUGCUGAUUGUCCCAGGACCAAAAGCCUGCUGUGACUUCCUUGCAUACUUCCCAGGGAAAAGAUUCUUUACUUCCCUCUGUUCCUUGAAUAGAUUCUGAUGCGUGUUAGCCAGCCAGCUAGAUUUCCAGAGGAAAUCUUGCUGGUCCCUGUGAAAGUGACUUGCCCUGUCAUUUUCUUUUAUAACUAGAAGAGCAAACAGCAGGAAGACAACAGCAAGUACCCGCCAGCUCUUUAUCUGCAGUCAGAAGAAUUCUGCCCCCACUCAGGUACCUGUUCCCAUCCAGAGCCCAUGCAUGCACCCACCCGUCUUGUGCUUGCAAACCCCUGAGGGCAGUGCUGACUGUGGAGAGCUGAUGCAACCCCCAGACCAAGGGCCCUGUGACUGCCAUGCCAGACAUGUGUCGGUCAUUUACAUUUUAAUAGUUCAUUUAAAAACCAAAGUAAACAAGCAAGUUGAUUUGAAUAACACUCUUUGUGCAACCUAAUGCCACCAAAUUAUUAUCAUUAGUGUGUAAUCAGGAUAAAAAUAUUGAGACAGUUUAGAUUUUUUUCUUCUAAGUGUAUAUAAUGCACUUCCAACUUGCCAGAUUUCAGUGCGUGAUUUUAAUGGAAAAUUGAUGACUUAAAAAAUGUUAUUUUAUAAAAUUUACACUUGGAAGAGUGACAUACAUAAGGUAUUCCAAACAUGCUUAGAAGUUUUCUAUUAGCUGAAAAAUCAUUGAUAUCUGAUGUUUGCAUACACAUUGACAAAACUGGUCCAUCUUUUUAAUAGUAAUCAUUUUGACUAUGUCUUACCUAGGUGAGGGAAAUUUAUUAUGGGGAAGUCAAAACAGUAUGGAUCAAUUAAAGCAGAUCUUUAUCAUUGUCAAUCCUUCCUUUACAUUUUUCUCACUCUUUUACAUCCAAUUUACAUAAUGCUAUCCAUCAUUGUUAAAAUCCUCCGUGUAUGCACUCAUGUAAGAAAACCGCAUAGAUCAUUGCUACUUAUUAAAUUACAAAGUUAGAAUUUAAACUUCCACAUCUGUGUAGCUACACCACAGCGAAGCUUUUCUUUUCCUGGAAAGCUCAAAUUUGACUCAUUCAGAUACAGGAAUGUUGAUGUGGAAAUCACAGUAGCAAGAUUUGUCUUCAUGUAUGUAUGUAUAUAUGUAUUCAUUUUUGUACUGAGAAUUGAACUCAGGGCCUUGCAUUUGGCAGUCAGUGCUGUGCUGCUGAGCCAUAUCCCCAGCCCCUUUAUUUUUAACUUCUUGAAAAAUAUGCUUUCUUUUCUUUUCCUGUUUUUCUUUCCUUGAGACAGGGUUUCAGUAUGUAAUUCAGGCUGGCUUCAAACUCAAGUCAAUCCUCCUGUCUCUGCCUCCGGAGCGCUGGGCUUACAGGUGUGCACCACAAUGCCCAGACUGAUAUUCUUGAUUUUCAAAACAAUCUUGAAUUGGAGUCAGCAGUAUAGUAAAUCUUUGUAAAACUCUUCCCUAAUUCAAGCAAAGAACCUUGGCGAAGAGGUCCAGGAGCCAUUAAAUCCACUGUCUUCUACUUCUUUCAGCAAAACUUACAACGAUCCAUAAACUUACAACGACUCAUUGCAUUUGCAUGCAUACACUUAGCAACAGUAUCCAGGAUGUGUCUCAAGGAAUCAGCUUUAGAAAAUUGAACAUAAAUAUUUUUAAGCUGCAUCACACAGUGAAACAAAGAAAUAAAGGAAACAUCCAUUAGUCUUUAGAAAGAAUUCCAAUAAAUCUGGUUUUUUGGUCUAGCAUCGUUUAAAAAAUCAUUUAUUGUGUUAGAAACUAAUAUUUAAAUACCUACCCCAAAUUCCCCUCUGUCAGAGGUAAAGGACUGACAAAAUACCUAAACCAUGAGUUUGACACUUUUGGUCACAAAUAAACAAUAUUUCUUGGUAAAUUAAAAAGUGUUUUGGGACAAAACAUACCCAAAGUACUAACUGGGCAGUGUAUUUUAUGUUUCCAGACUCUUCUAAAGCAAAAAGAAAUCAAAGACUUAGACAGAAAGCUUGUGUUUUUCAGAAUUUGAAUUAAUUGAUCUUGUUAUUGUGAAGAUCUUGCAUUUUUUAAGCCACUGUGUUGGUAACUAAUUGAAGUUGCUUUUUAUGUGAAAUAUAAUUUUUAUUUUUUCCUCAAAAAAUUUCUGUAAUGGAAAUAAUUUCUUUUACUAUCUUUCCACCAAAAAUAUGUGUGCAAGUGUAUGUGUGUAUGUGAGAAUCACAGUAAGUUAAUAACUGACAAAGAACAAACUGGGACUGUUGAUAACAAAGUCUUUAAUUUUUAAAAUAAAAAAACUUAAUUUUUUUCUUAGAUUUUCAAUUUUAAUUUCAGGUAAUUAUAUCAAUUCUUUUUGGGAUGUUGAGAGAAAAUUUAUCAAAUUCAAUACAAAUUUGCCAGUAUUUCUUAAUACAGUACACUUUAUUAUCUUUAAACAAAUUAUAUACAAUAAGCAGUUAGUUUUUUCUUUUUGUUCAAUUUCAGCAAAUUACAAUUGCCACUUGUUGUGGAACUUGCAAUGUAUCUUCUGCCAAUUGCUAUCUAUCUAUUUUGCAAUACUGUGGUUUGAACUCAAGGCCUUCACACUGAAUUACAUCAUCAGUGUAUUUUAUUUUUUAAUUUUGAGGAAAUGAUAUAAUGUCUUGCUAAAUUCUCCAGUCUUGCCUCUAGCUUUUUAAUUUUAAUUUAAUUUAAUUUAAUUUUUUUGAGACAGAGUUCUCACUGAAUAGUCCCAGCUGGUCUUGAACUCACUAUAUAGUCAAGGUUGUCCUUGAACUUGUGGCAAUUCUCCUGCCUCUGCCUCCCAUGUGCUGGGGUUACACACAUGUGCCAUUAUGUCUAGCUUGGCCCCAAAAUUUGAUCUUUCUGCCUCAGCCUCCCAAAGUACUAAAAUUAUAAGUUGCGUGCCACCAAAGUUGACUUUUAAAAGUAUUUUAAUUUUUUAAUAUUAUUAUAUGUUUGUGAGACAUAAUACUUUUAUUUUUGAGAGUUGGUGCAAAAAGACAUAUAUGGUACAUAUAUAUAUAUAUAUAUGUAUAUAUAUAUAAAACAUCUUGACCCUUUCUACUCCUUCCCGCCGCCUUUCCUCUUUGUUUUCUGAUUGCCUUCCCAUUUCCACAAAGUCUGCAUCCCUCUUUCCUCUCAUUUGUCUUAUUUUGCUUUUAAAAUAUUUACAUUUUGGGUUUCUCAUAUCCUACAUGUAAGAACAAUGGCCUACUAGAGAAAUUAUUCAAGCGACCUUCUAUGCCUGGUAUUUUACAUACCAUUAUGGGCUCACACUGCAUCUGUUUACCUACCAGUGACUCAUACUUGUCCUUCUGUCUGGCUCAGCAGUGCAUCACACUUUCUGUACUGAUCUGUUAAUGGGCAUAGAGGUUCUUUCUACAAUGUAGCUAUUGUAAAUUGUGUUGCUAUAAAUUUGAGUAUGCACAUGGCAUUGAAAUAUGACCUUUGCUCUUUCAGGAAGAUAGACAAAAGAGUAUAGCUGGGUCAAAUGGCAUUUCUAGUUUUAGUUUUUUGUACAUUCUUCAUACUGAUUUCUCUAGUGGUCAUACCAGUUUACAUUCUCACCAACACUAAAAAAAGCAUUCCUGUCAUAGAACUAACAUUUGCACUUCUGUAUCAUUCUGUAUUAGUAAAAUGUUUUCAUUGCUGAUUUAGCAAAUGGUCCGUACUUAUUUUACACUAGAAAGAUAAUUUAGUUAUGUUGCAAUUAAAAUGAAAUCUUUUGCUGAAGUAGGAGGAUCACUGCAAGUUCGAGACCAGCCUGGGAUACAAAAUACAGCCUUAACUGCAUAGUGAGACCCUGUCUCAAAAACACAAAAAAAUAAAAUAAAAUAAAAUAAAAUGAUAUUUUUCUUUCA